Molecule: ribosomal RNA, 681 nt
Filed under: Pediococcus pentosaceus
Lineage: Bacteria; Bacillati; Bacillota; Bacilli; Lactobacillales; Lactobacillaceae
Description: bacterial SSU rRNA
Rfam family: Bacterial small subunit ribosomal RNA
Source: RNAcentral
UUACUAAGUGUUGGAGGGUUUCCGCCCUUCAGUGCUGCAGCUAACGCAUUAAGUAAUCCGCCUGGGGAGUACGACCGCAAGGUUGAAACUCAAAAGAAUUGACGGGGGCCCGCACAAGCGGUGGAGCAUGUGGUUUAAUUCGAAGCUACGCGAAGAACCUUACCAGGUCUUGACAUCUUCUGACAGUCUAAGAGAUUAGAGGUUCCCUUCGGGGACAGAAUGACAGGUGGUGCAUGGUUGUCGUCAGCUCGUGUCGUGAGAUGUUGGGUUAAGUCCCGCAACGAGCGCAACCCUUAUUACUAGUUGCCAGCAUUAAGUUGGGCACUCUAGUGAGACUGCCGGUGACAAACCGGAGGAAGGUGGGGACGACGUCAAAUCAUCAUGCCCCUUAUGACCUGGGCUACACACGUGCUACAAUGGAUGGUACAACGAGUCGCGAGACCGCGAGGUUAAGCUAAUCUCUUAAAACCAUUCUCAGUUCGGACUGUAGGCUGCAACUCGCCUACACGAAGUCGGAAUCGCUAGUAAUCGCGGAUCAGCAUGCCGCGGUGAAUACGUUCCCGGGCCUUGUACACACCGCCCGUCACACCAUGAGAGUUUGUAACACCCAAAGCCGGUGGGGUAACCUUUUAGGAGCUAGCCGUCUAAGGUGGGACAGAUGAUUAGGGUGAAGUCGUAACA